This is a transfer RNA of Camelus ferus (Wild Bactrian camel), 73 nucleotides long. It matches the Rfam family "tRNA". Rfam says of the family: Transfer RNA (tRNA) molecules are approximately 80 nucleotides in length. Their secondary structure includes four short double-helical elements and three loops (D, anti-codon, and T loops). Lineage: Eukaryota; Metazoa; Chordata; Mammalia; Artiodactyla; Camelidae. The record is from Rfam.
GAGGGUAUAGCUCAGUGGUAGAGUGCAUGCUUGGCGUGCAUGAGGUUCUGGGUUCAACCCCCCAGUACCUCCA